RNAcentral lists this transfer RNA (76 nucleotides) under Chloroflexota bacterium. RNAcentral describes it as "Chloroflexi bacterium tRNA-Arg". It matches the Rfam family "tRNA". Rfam says of the family: Transfer RNA (tRNA) molecules are approximately 80 nucleotides in length. Lineage: Bacteria; Bacillati; Chloroflexota. RNAcentral also lists the same sequence under 2 other names. The record is from RNAcentral.
GUCCCCGUAGCUCAGUGGACAGAGCGGCUGCCUUCUAAGCAGCGGGUCGCAGGUUCGAAUCCUGCCGGGGACGCCA